This 267-nucleotide ribosomal RNA is filed under the name uncultured prokaryote. Its description in RNAcentral is "partial 16S ribosomal RNA". It matches the Rfam family "Bacterial small subunit ribosomal RNA", at positions 524 to 791 of the family's 1533-position model. The record is from RNAcentral.
UACGUAGGGGCAAGCGUUAUCCGGAUUUACUGGGUGUAAAGGGAGCGUAGGUGGCAAAGUAAGUCUGAUGUGAAAGCCCACGGCUCAACCGUGGAAGGUCAUUGGAAACUGGGUCACUUGAAUGGAGCAGAGGAGAACGGAAUUCCAUGUGUAGCAGUGAAAUGCGUAGAUAUAUGGAGGAACACCAGUGGCGAAGGCGGUUCUCUGGACUGUAACUGACGCUGAGGCUCGAAAGCGUGGGGAGCAAACAGGAUUAGAUACCCCGUA